This 483-nucleotide ribosomal RNA is filed under the name uncultured bacterium. RNAcentral's name for it is "partial 16S ribosomal RNA". It matches the Rfam family "Bacterial small subunit ribosomal RNA", at positions 28 to 507 of the family's 1533-position model. The record is from RNAcentral.
GACGAACGCUGGCGGCGUGCUUAACACAUGCAAGUCGAACGCUGAAGCUCAGCUUUUGUUGGGUGGAUGAGUGGCGAACGGGUGAGUAACACGUGAGUAACCUGCCCCCUUCUUUGGGAUAACGCCCGGAAACGGGUGCUAAUACUGGAUAUUCACUGGUCUUCGCCUGGGGGUUGGUGGAAAGGGCGUUUCUGGUGGGGGAUGUGCUCGCGGCCUAUCGGCUUGUUGGAGGGGUGAUGGCCUACCGAGGCUUUGACGGGUAGCCGGCCUGAGAGGGUGACCGGUCACAUUGGGACUGAGAUACGGCCCAGGCUACUACGGGGGGCAGCAGUGGGGAAUAUUGCACAAUGGGCGCAAGCCUGAUGCAGCGACGCCGCGUGAGGGCUGGGGGCCUUCGGGUUGUGAACCUCUUUCGCUCAUGGUCAAGCCGCAACAAUGGUUGUGGUGAGGGUAGUGGGUAAAGAAGCGCCGGCUAACUACGUG